CCGCCGCUGACCCGCCGCCUCCGUCUGCCUCCUCCCGGGCUCUGGGCCCAGCGCGCCCAGAUGCCGGGCAGGACCCCUCCGCCCGCUGCUGGAACACCAAUAGCAGCGUUGGAGCCUCUGGGCCGGAGGAACUGGGGCCUCCACCGACACCUGCUUCUUCCCUCACCUCGCAGCCUUCCACACCUGUUGAUCUGACCUCUGCCCCGCUGCCGCCCAGGAGUAACCUAAGGCUUUUGGCCUGAUUCGAGCUCACUCCGUCUAAACCUCUAAAUGCGGUGCGAAAAAAUCCUGGGGAAUGUGCCAUGCAAAGCCUGGGCAUUUCAAGUGCUUUUCUGGAUUCGCAUCAACUCCUCUUUACAGGCAUCUUUAUCCGGAAUUCAGCUCGUCCCAAACCCCACGUGGUGUAGCUCUGCUUGUGUUUUUGAAUCCCGGGGCCUCUUUGAAUCAGAAGCCCUUUGUAUAGAGAUAAGUAUCCUUUAGGCCAGAAUCAGCCUCCAUUUUUUUCGCAGUCCCAUUUCCUACCCGUAAUACUUUCUUCUGAUUUUAAAGCCAUUUGAUAGAGAAGGGACAGGGAACAGAACCUUCGCCCCCCGCCUGAGCAGCUGGUAGACUAGAUAUCUUCCAAACAUUAUCUCAUUUACUUCCCUGGAGUUACAAAUAGGUAGAUUUCAUGUCCGUUGAGGGGUGAGAAAGCUGAAACUUUGAGACUUAAGAAUCCUGGCCGAGGUCAGCCUCCUCCGAAGCUUCAUCUCUUGCCACCACUUUCUGGUGCACACCUAGGACAGAUUUCAAUCCCUGAGAUCCCAGGAUGAAACCUAUGUUUGCCAAAUACCAGCUACUGUGCCAGAAGAGAUCAUGGAACCAGGUGUGGAAAGCUGCUUGAGAAGAGGAGCCAAAACAUCAUAGUUGAACCGUCCUGGAAUAGAAACUCGCCCUGAAUUCUUUCUUGUGUGAAAUCCAAGAGCCCUCUCUUGGGGUUGGAUCGGGACCCUGUUCCUGUAACAAGUCCACAAUGCCAGAGAAUUAAAGAGAACCACAAAGCUGAACCUCAAAAAGUUAGCCUGGCGAGGGGAGGAUGAUGAGAUUUCCCCUGUUGUCACAUAAACAAGGAAGUAAAGGGGGCCCCUUGUGCUCUCAGAACUCCAAGCAUGAAACGAUAGCAAAGGGAAAAACAGCUAAGUGUUUCCUGGCUGAAUUUUAUUUUGCUUUCAGUUUCUGCCAUUUCAGUUCCUGUUAUCGUGCUUUGAGGUGCACUGAACUGCAGCAAACCCAGGGGAUCCAAGGCUACGUUGAAAAGCCUUUGACCACAGUGCAGGGAGCAGAAGACAUUAAUGACGUGAUGUCGACACAGCCCGCACUCAGGAUCCUCCAGGAAAAGAACACAGAGAUAACCCCGGAUCGAUGGUACUUUUUGAAAAUGCUUUAUUGCAAAAGAGUGGCUAGGGUUUUACAAGGGCUAUGAAGAAACAUAUUAAGGUUAAUAAAGCUUUUUAUUGAGUGUUU
This 1503-nucleotide long non-coding RNA is filed under the name Homo sapiens (human). RNAcentral describes it as "non-protein coding lnc-SLC44A3-1:13". The record is from RNAcentral. Lineage: Eukaryota; Metazoa; Chordata; Mammalia; Primates; Hominidae.